AAUAUUGGUCAUUGGAGGCAACUCUGAACCAGCCAAGCCGCGUGAAGGAUGACUGCACGACGGGAUGUAAACUUAUUUUUUAAGGGAAUAAAGAGAGCCACGGUGGGCUUUUUGCUUGUACCUUACGAAUAUGGAUUGUCUACCUCCGUGCCAGCAGCCGCGGUAAUACGGAGGAUCCACGCGUGAUCCGGAUUUAUUGGGUUUAAAGGUUGCGCAGGCGGAAUAUUAAGGCGGCGGUGAAAGUCUGCAGCUUAACUGUAAAAUUGCCGUUGAUACUGGUAUUCUUGAGUGUAUAUGAAGUAGGCGGAAUUUGUAGUGUAGCGGUGAAAUGCAUAGAUAUUACAAGGAACUCCGAUUGCGAGGGCAGCUUACUAAAAUACAACUGACGCUUAGGCACGAAGGCGUGGGGAUCAAACA
RNAcentral lists this ribosomal RNA (417 nucleotides) under uncultured bacterium. RNAcentral describes it as "partial 16S ribosomal RNA". It matches the Rfam family "Bacterial small subunit ribosomal RNA", at positions 360 to 774 of the family's 1533-position model. The record is from RNAcentral.